RNAcentral lists this ribosomal RNA (425 nucleotides) under uncultured bacterium. RNAcentral's name for it is "partial 16S ribosomal RNA". It matches the Rfam family "Bacterial small subunit ribosomal RNA", at positions 354 to 796 of the family's 1533-position model. The record is from RNAcentral.
GUGGGGAAUCUUGCGCAAUGGGCGAAAGCCUGACGCAGCCAUGCCGCGUGAAUGAUGAAGGUCUUAGGAUUGUAAAAUUCUUUCACCGGGGACGAUAAUGACGGUACCCGGAGAAGAAGCUCCGGCUAACUUCGUGCCAGCAGCCGCGGUAAUACGAAGGGGGCUAGCGUUGCUCGGAAUUACUGGGCGUAAAGGGCGCGUAGGCGGACAGCUUAGUCAGAGGUGAAAGCCCAGGGCUCAACCUUGGAAUUGCCUUUGAUACUGGCUGUCUUGAGUUUGGGAGAGGUGAGUGGAACUCCGAGUGUAGAGGUGAAAUUCGUAGAUAUUCGGAAGAACACCAGUGGCGAAGGCGACUCACUGGCCCAAUACUGACGCUGAGGCGCGAAAGCGUGGGGAGCAAACAGGAUUAGACACCCCAGUAGUCC